GAAGGUCCUGAGGUUGAUCCUACCAUUGUGACACAUGAUGCAAAGGAUUUGUACAAAGCUGGUGAGAAAAGGCUGGGUACGGAUGAGAAGACCUUUAUCCGUGUUUUCACUGAACGCAGUUGGGCACACUUGGCAUCUGUUUCUUCUGCUUACCAUCAUAUGUAUGACCGGAAAUUAGAGAAGGUAACACUUCUGUUCUGUACACUUCUGGAAUAAGCAUUUUUUUUUAUUCUCUGGAAUUUUUCACAGUGUUCUUUAUAUAUGAUAGGUUGUCAAGAGCGAAACAUCUGGAAACUUUGAAUUUGCACUUUUGACUAUCCUCAGAUGCGCGGAAAACCCAGCGAAGUAUUUUGCUAAGGUACUGCACCCAUGCUGUUUUCAGUAAAGAAAUAUUGUAGCUUUUGAAAUUCUGUGCAGGCACCAUAGGUAUAUAAAAUCACUGAUUGUUUUAGAGUCAAGUUAUGUCUUGCUGAUAGCCGUAGCCAACAGCUGUUCUUCUUUCUCAUGAAAUUAUAAUUUAACAUUUGGUGAAGCAAAGAUCACUUGUUGAUAUGACACUGAUAUAAAGUUUGCUGUACCAUCUAGAGUUGAUCUUUGUAUAUUUUAUUUCUUAUUUUAAUUAUAUGUAAGUUGCCACCAUUCCAAAGCGUUAUUUUCUGCUAAUGCUGUGAAAUGAGCAUGUUCAGGAUUGCUCAUCUUUGGUGCCCAUGAGUCCCCUCCUAGACUGUCCUAGCUGCCUUUUUCAUUUGGCUCCCCAGUAUCUUAUGGGAAUGCUGCUGCCCUGAUAGAAUAUGCUAUUACCAUGAGAUCACAUGGUGCUAUGUUUUAUGUAUGCAUGUUACUUUCUAUGCAGAUUUUAGGAUAGCAUCCUUGAUCAACUUUUACUUUUUAACAAAUCUUGUAAUCUUUGUUAAACCUCUUAUGUUUACCACUGUAGAAUCUAAUGAUAGUUUAAGACCUCUGUUUUCUUAGUUUGAUACUUGCAACAUGACCAAUUUUCUCUUAAUGACAUGAAUACAGCUCUUACGAAAGGCCAUGAAAGGUUUAGGCACCGAUGAGAAGACACUUACAAGGGUCGUGGUGACGAGGACUGAGAUUGACAUGCAAUAUAUCAAGGCAGAGUACUUCAAGAAGUAUAAGAAGCCAUUAGCUGAGGCUAUCAACUCCGAAACAUCAGGAAACUAUCGGGCGUUCCUUCUUUCACUUGUUGGUCA
Molecule: long non-coding RNA, 1214 nt
Filed under: Sorghum bicolor (sorghum)
Lineage: Eukaryota; Viridiplantae; Streptophyta; Magnoliopsida; Poales; Poaceae
Description: long non-coding RNA (SBIC_LNC003536)
Source: RNAcentral